This 63-nucleotide transfer RNA is filed under the name Brachycentrus kozlovi. RNAcentral's name for it is "tRNA-Ala". Lineage: Eukaryota; Metazoa; Arthropoda; Insecta; Trichoptera; Brachycentridae. The record is from RNAcentral.
AGGGUUAUAAUUUAUAUAAAAAUAUUUAACUUGCACUUAAAAAAAGUUACUAAACUUACCUUA